UGACCUCAAAUCGGGUGAGACUACC
This 25-nucleotide ribosomal RNA is filed under the name uncultured Russula. Its description in RNAcentral is "partial 28S ribosomal RNA". Lineage: Eukaryota; Fungi; Basidiomycota; Agaricomycetes; Russulales; Russulaceae. The record is from RNAcentral.